RNAcentral lists this ribosomal RNA (274 nucleotides) under uncultured bacterium. Its description in RNAcentral is "partial 16S ribosomal RNA". It matches the Rfam family "Bacterial small subunit ribosomal RNA", at positions 523 to 796 of the family's 1533-position model. The record is from RNAcentral.
AUACGGAGGGUGCAAGCGUUACUCGGAAUCACUGGGCGUAAAGCGCGCGCAGGCGGUCUUUUAAGUUGGAUGUGAAAGCCUACGGCUCAACCGUAGAACUGCAUCCAAAACUAUUAGACUAGAGUGUGGGAGAGGAAGAUGGAAUUAGUUGUGUAGGGGUAAAAUCCGUAGAGAUAACUAGGAAUACCAAAAGCGAAGGCAAUCUUCUGGAACACUACUGACGCUGAGGCGCGAAAGCGUGGGGAGCGAACAGGAUUAGAAACCCUAGUAGUCC